AAGGAGCACCACGAAAAGCACCCCAACAAGUGGGGUGCGAGCCGUGAGGGGUUCUCGUCUGUAGUGGACGGGGGCCGGGUGCAACAACAAGCAAAGCCAGACACACUAUUGGGUCCUGAGGCAACACUCGGACGCUGUUUUCGAGGGUUGUCCCACCAUCUUGGUGGUGGGGUGUGGUGUUUGAGAAUUGGAUAGUGGUUGCGAGCAUCAAAAUGUAUGCGUUGCCGUUCGCGGUGGCGCGUUGUUUUGUGCAAUUUUAUUCUUUGGUUUUUGUAGU
Molecule: unclassified non-coding RNA, 277 nt
Filed under: Mycobacterium intermedium
Lineage: Bacteria; Bacillati; Actinomycetota; Actinomycetes; Mycobacteriales; Mycobacteriaceae
Description: partial 16S-23S ribosomal RNA intergenic spacer
Source: RNAcentral